ACGGAAGGCAGCAGUGGGGAAUAUUGCACAAUGGGGGAAACCCUGAUGCAGCGACGCCGCGUGAGUGAAGAAGUAUUUCGGUAUGUAAAGCUCUAUCAGCAGGGAAGAUAAUGACGGUACCUGACUAAGAAGCACCGGCUAAAUACGUGCCAGCAGCCGCGGUAAUACGUAUGGUGCAAGCGUUAUCCGGAUUUACUGGGUGUAAAGGGAGCGCAGACGGCAGAGCAAGUCUGAAGUGAAAGCCCCGGGCUCAACCCGGGAACUGCUUUGGAAACUGUUUUGCUAGAGUGUCGGAGAGGUAAGUGGAAUUCCUAGUGUAGCGGUGAAAUGCGUAGAUAUUAGGAGGAACACCAGUGGCGAAGGCGGCUUACUGGACGAUAACUGACGUUGAGGCUCGAAAGCGUGGGGAGCAAACAGGAUUAGAUACCCUGGUA
RNAcentral lists this ribosomal RNA (434 nucleotides) under uncultured Lachnospiraceae bacterium. RNAcentral's name for it is "bacterial SSU rRNA". It matches the Rfam family "Bacterial small subunit ribosomal RNA", at positions 341 to 792 of the family's 1533-position model. The record is from RNAcentral. Lineage: Bacteria; Bacillati; Bacillota; Clostridia; Lachnospirales; Lachnospiraceae.